GGUCCUGUGGCGUAGUGGUUAUCACGUCUGCUUUACACGCAGAAGGUCGCCGUUUCGUUCUCGGCCAGGUCCU
Non-coding RNA from Angiostrongylus cantonensis (rat lungworm), 73 nucleotides. NCBI's taxonomy places the organism in Eukaryota, Metazoa, Nematoda, Chromadorea, Rhabditida, Metastrongylidae. The record is from Rfam.